CAGAGAGGCGAACUGGCACGAUGACUCUAUUUCCCAAGGUGGAGUCACAAAGUGAGCUCACUACAUUCAGGGCAUGUCCAGUAAUCCUCUCUUCAGCCAGGAGGGCUGUGUGACUCUGCUGUUGGGAAGCAGGCCGGCUGUUGCUCUCCUCUCAGGAUAUCCAGAACUCACUUGGGUGGGCUGAGGACGUCUUCCAGGAACUCCUCAAUCUUGUUGACGUCCGUCUUGACCUCGCCGUUGAAGGUGAUGAAGGGCGGGUGCGUGCCUGGGGCCAGAUUCUGGAGGUCUGCCGGCUUCCUGCAGGAGACAUAACAGAGCCUUUAGAAAGCUCAGAUAAAGACUGGAUGUUUUUACUUGUGAAUGUAUAAACUGAAGGUACGUAUUGGGUGGUUUUCUGACUCAGCCUAAGAGUUGAUGGGAAAGACUAAACAUUGUGUUUGACUCAUGUGAAACCUGAUUAUAUGGGUAUUGCUUGGUGGUUUCUCGUUAAAGGGCUUCUUUUCCUUGUUUUUUUCCCCCGGGGUGAAUCAUGGUCCCUGGGGACUCACAGGGUGGAAUUAACACUGUUGCCCCAGACUCCUCUGGUGCAGCACCGCCACAGCCCUGUUCCCGGAGUCCCUGCUGCUAUCGGUGUGUGUGUCUGCCUUCCCGUCUCCCUUGUGCACCGCUAGCUGGCACAUUUUCUUCCAGAUGUCUCCAGCGGACCAGAUAUGAUAACACAUAAGUGUGAGCACACAGACACACACACACACACACACACACACACACACACACACACACACACACACACACACACACACACACACACAAAUGAGCAUGUGUUAAGUGACACCACACAGGCAAAAUAUAUAAAAGACCCAUGACACAUUAUCCCUCCACCAUUCUUCUCGUCAACACUUUCCACGGCAGGGUUUGACCUUGAGAGAGAGAAGCAAAGCAAGGCUCUGUGCAGGACCCUGUCCUUUAUCAGGCAGCGCCAACCAAACCCUUGUAUCAAGUCCCUCCAUACAUGAGGAUGAAAUCUAUUCACUGUGCGCUACUACAAAAUAAGCAAUGGACUUCUAUAAUAAAGCAAGGAAUUUCAUGGGCUGAAUUUAACACCAAACAGGAAAUGUUGGCACACGCGCAGGAAGUGGCGCUCUUGGCUCAGGCCGCCAUCUUUCAUAUGUGACCUAAGUCGGGCUCCUGCUGUGGAGUCCCAUCGACGUCUGAAGCCAGCUCAACGUUGCUCUCUGCUCGCUCACAGCACUCGCAGGCCCCUCCCCCGCGCUCCGCUGACCCCAGAGCUCAGGGUCGGACAUGAAGGGAGGUUCCUCAUUGUACGACUGGAGGGAGUGGGCGGCGCCCGGUACUGCAGUGAGCUGGAUACGGUCACCGGGAAUCUGAGAUCAACAGCUUCUAAAUCACAACCAAUGGGCUGAUUUAAAAAAAAACAUCAACGGAUGUUCUGUAUUUAAAUAUGUUCUGUAAUUAAAUUAAAAUCGGCCGAUUAAAUUAUAAGCAGUGAGUGUGGCAUGUGACUUUGUGAAAAUAAAAAUCGAAUUA
Molecule: long non-coding RNA, 1545 nt
Organism: Gadus morhua (Atlantic cod)
Lineage: Eukaryota; Metazoa; Chordata; Actinopteri; Gadiformes; Gadidae
Exons: 2
Source: RefSeq, a predicted model, not a curated record